RNAcentral lists this ribosomal RNA (483 nucleotides) under uncultured bacterium. RNAcentral's name for it is "bacterial SSU rRNA". It matches the Rfam family "Bacterial small subunit ribosomal RNA", at positions 30 to 507 of the family's 1533-position model. The record is from RNAcentral.
AUUGAACGCUGGCGGCAUGCCUUACACAUGCAAGUCGAACGGCAGCACGGGAGCAACCCUGGUGGCGAGUGGCGAACGGGUGAGUAAUAUAUCGGAACGUGCCCAGUCGUGGGGGAUAACGUAGCGAAAGCUACGCUAAUACCGCAUACGAUCUAUGGAUGAAAGCGGGGGAUCGCAAGACCUCGCGCGAUUGGAGCGGCCGAUAUCAGAUUAGGUAGUUGGUGAGGUAAAGGCUCACCAAGCCGACGAUCUGUAGCUGGUCUGAGAGGACGACCAGCCACACUGGGACUGAGACACGGCCCAGACUCCUACGGGAGGCAGCAGUGGGGAAUUUUGGACAAUGGGCGCAAGCCUGAUCCAGCAAUGCCGCGUGCAGGAUGAAGGCCUUCGGGUUGUAAACUGCUUUGUACGGAACGAAACGGUGAGCUCUAAUACAGUUUGCUAAUGACGGUACCGUAAGAAUAAGCACCGGCUAACUACGUG